Molecule: ribosomal RNA, 233 nt
Filed under: uncultured bacterium
Lineage: Bacteria
Description: partial 16S ribosomal RNA
Rfam family: Bacterial small subunit ribosomal RNA
Source: RNAcentral
CGGGUGAGUAAUGCAUCGGAACGUGCCCAGUCGUGGGGGAUAACGCAGCGAAAGCUGUGCUAAUACCGCAUACGAUCUAUGGAUGAAAGCGGGGGACCUUCGGGCCUCGCGCGAUUGGAGCGGCCGAUGUUAGAUUAGCUAGUUGGUGGGGUAAGAGCCCACCAAGGCGACGAUCUGUAGCUGGUCUGAGAGGACGACCAGCCACACUGGAACUGAGACACGGUCCAGACUCC